Rhipicephalus sanguineus (brown dog tick) is the source of this 1063-nucleotide long non-coding RNA. RefSeq lists it as uncharacterized. The record is from RefSeq and is a predicted model, not a curated record. The transcript is spliced from 4 exons. NCBI's taxonomy places the organism in Eukaryota, Metazoa, Arthropoda, Arachnida, Ixodida, Ixodidae.
AUGGCACUGCACGAAGGCAGCUGGAUUAGGACCCUUGGAGCAGGUUGCUCUACAAAAUUCUCCCCAAGUUGCCCCAGCAGCGAAAGAUCGAGCUACUUGCAUGUGCCCUAGUUGCACACUUCAAAGAGACCCGAAGUUACUAGCAAAGAUGCCACCCAUAGCCAUGCGCGUUGGUGGUCGCCAUGUUUCAUCUGCCCCAUUCAAGACAUCAAGACAAGCUCAUUCACUUACACAGACCGAUGCUGCAUGUCAGGCGGGAAUGGAAUUACGGGGAAGUCUGAUUGUCUUCAUGUCGGCGACCACUGGAGCCGAAGCAUCAACUCAAGUUUCUCACACUGAACAUUGCAAUAAGAAACUUUGACAGAACGAGAGGGAGCAGCUAGCUGACUCAACACCCGAGUUGGCAGGUGAUGAUGGCAUCAGCCAGUGCAAGAUAUAGCAGCAGAAAUGGUGGCACAAAGUGUGCUUGAUCUCAUGGGACAGUAAGAGCAUGUCAAGUGAUAAUGGUGGUAUUUUACAAGGAUCACAGGAGACUGCGGUGGCCACCAUACCGAUUUGCCUUCCAUCGUAGUCACUUGGGAAAAUGCUACCUCGUCAGCCAUAUUUACCACAUCAGCACAAGGUCAAACUCUCGGAGAAAGUGGCUGACUUAUAUAAGUCAAGUCGCUGGGAAUGAUGGCAGCUGAAAAGGAAGAUGUGGAUUCUUCAGGUCUGGGACACCGAGCAGAAUGAGAUGGCUUUUCAGGAUAUGUGCAGUUGACAUACUGGACUCCCAUCAUCUUCUCAACAUUCUGCAACAGCAGAGCUACCGAAGCAUGAAUGUAACCUGUGAAAACAAGCUAAUUCUAUUCUUGGCCAAGCUUGGGAAAAGCUUCCAUACUUUGUCUGUGAUGUUAUUGUGAUAGGAAUUGUGUAUAUGGACACUCUUGACGGGUUCUUGCCAUUGCUGUUAUGUUCUGCAUAAAGUCCAAAUCUAUAACAGUGCCCCAUGCAUCGUAUAUUCUACACGCGAGUAAAAGCGCACGAGUGCUAGCGACGAAUGCGGCUCAAGUAGAGAGGAAAC